AAAAAGCAGUAACCAUUUACAUUGUCAAAACAACUCAAUUGCAGUGGUCAUAGCGACCAUGUUUUAACUGGUGAUCAAAACUAUCAAUAUUUGCAUUAGAACUUGUUUACCAGUUAAAUUUACCUAAUAAUGUAGUCAUGCGAACAAACGUGUAAUAUUUUUCGAGCUGCGAUAUAUUCUGACACCGUAACCUGAAACUGUCAAAACGUUGUCUGCAAAAAUUUUGUCAUCAUCUCGUAGUUGCUCGAAAUUGUGAACAAUUUUCUCCUUAUCGGACAGUUUUUCACUAGAUUCAUCAGUGUCUGUUACUUGACAAAAUAUAAUUCCUGCUGUGGGAAUAAGAUUAGGUAACUUCGGUAUACCAGGCCAACAGCGAAAGCGCUGAUGUUUGCGAGUGAAAAAAGCGGAGAAAUAGAAGUGAAUUCUCUUGCUUUCGGGCAAGGAUGGUAACGAAAUCUACUGAUAAGGAACCGUGCCGGGAUUGUUCGAACGAGGCCCGAGUAGUGCAGGAGAAUGACGUUGGAUGCCAGCGUUUUACCAUCAGAGCUGGUAUGGUAACCACCGCUCAGCCACUAGUUGGGCUAUCCGGCUUGAAUGUGCACUGUGCAGCGGAACACUAUCCACAAAACAUUCUGGGAUGCGUUCGACAACGGCAAAAAGAGAAUCUAUAGAAUAUAAACUUCUUCCACCCAGCCAUGAAUUUCCUGUAUCAAAACCAAAACACCAAUCCUACGAACGAUAUCACUCGAAAGGUAUCUUAAAACGAAACUAGAUGCUGAAACAUUUGCUUAUUUCGCCGGCAGUCAAAGUCCUGUUUCAGGAUCUAGAAUGGAACGAUCUACAGUGGAGUGAGGAGCAGUUGCAUUGUGCUUACAUUAUCCAGUAGCUGAAAAACUCACUCCAAGGACGAAAUACACGGCUAGCGGUAGUUUUAAUUCAAAAAGGUGCUAGUAUACCUCAAGGAGAUGAUUUUCUUGCUUCCGAGGGGGCAUCCCACUUAACCAGCACCUGUGAUAUUACCGCAAAAAUGCUCUUCGUGCUUCUUGAGGUGAAAACCAAAGCUGGUUUCGUGAGCUACAAAAUUUGUCGCCUAUUUUUCAAACUCAACGCACCAAAGGAUUCAAUAUCGUCAAAUAUCGCAACCGAACCGGUGCCAAGGAGCUGCUCUUCGAGCACUACAUCUGGCUGAGUGUGCAGUACAGUUCGGAAUUUACACAUGAUAUUUGUUUUUCGCAACGGGUUUGCAUACUGGU
This is a long non-coding RNA of Wyeomyia smithii (pitcher-plant mosquito), 1253 nucleotides long. RefSeq lists it as uncharacterized. The transcript has 3 exons. Lineage: Eukaryota; Metazoa; Arthropoda; Insecta; Diptera; Culicidae. The record is from RefSeq and is a predicted model, not a curated record.